RNAcentral lists this transfer RNA (85 nucleotides) under Thermomonas carbonis. RNAcentral's name for it is "tRNA-Leu". It matches the Rfam family "tRNA". From Rfam's summary of the family: Transfer RNA (tRNA) molecules are approximately 80 nucleotides in length. Lineage: Bacteria; Pseudomonadati; Pseudomonadota; Gammaproteobacteria; Lysobacterales; Lysobacteraceae. The record is from RNAcentral.
GCGAAAGUGGCGGAAUUGGCAGACGCCCUGGUUUUAGGUACCAGUGCCGCAAGGCGUAGGGGUUCGAGUCCCCUCUUUCGCACCA